This 256-nucleotide unclassified non-coding RNA is filed under the name Hevea brasiliensis (rubber tree). The record is from RNAcentral. Lineage: Eukaryota; Viridiplantae; Streptophyta; Magnoliopsida; Malpighiales; Euphorbiaceae.
CAGGUCAUCGGUAACGAUCAGGGCGUCCCGAUCAAGGACGAUAACGGCGAUCCGCGCGUCGACCCGCUGUCCGGUGAGCCGUUGUGGAUUAUGCCUCCGGGCUUCAAGCGGGCCAAGGCUGACCGCGUCUCGAAGCAUAUGAGCUACCAGCUCCUCAACGAGAUGGAGGAGUGGGAGGAAGACACCGACGUUCUCCUGCACCAUCUGCCGAUUGUUGGCUGUGCCUUCCGCAAGGUUUGGCGCUCCGAGACGCUGG